AUUGAACGCUGGCGGCAGGCCUAACACAUGCAAGUCGAACGAGUGGCGGACGGGUGAGUAAUGUCUGGGAAUCUGCCUGAUGGAGGGGGAUAACUACUGGUAACGGUAGCUAAUACCGCAUACCAUCAGAUGUGCCCAGAUGGGAUUAGCUAGUAGGUGGGGUACUGGCUGACCUAGGCGACGAUCCCUAGCUGGUCUGAGAGGAUGACCAGCCACACUGGACCUGAGGCACGGUCCAGACUCCUACGGGAGGGAGCAGUGGGGAAUAUUGCACGAUGGGCGCAAGCCUGAUGAAGCCAUGCCGCGUGUGUGAAGAAGGCCUUCGGUUUGUAAAGCACUUUCGGCGAGGAGGCGUUACUCGCAGAAGAAGCACCGGCUAACUCCGUGCCAGCAGCCGCGGUAAUUC
Molecule: ribosomal RNA, 406 nt
Filed under: uncultured bacterium
Lineage: Bacteria
Description: partial 16S ribosomal RNA
Rfam family: Bacterial small subunit ribosomal RNA
Source: RNAcentral